UGGCUGUUUUGUCUCAUUGAAUGACGUUACGUGGCACAUACAUUAGUACAUGUCUACAGUUUGCAUAUCAGUCAUGAGUGCGGAGUGUUGAAAGACUCGCAUCGCCAAAAGACAGCGGAGAGGCAGAGAAACAAAGCUGCCAUUUACUAAAGGGAUGUAUGAGGCGGACACGACAAUCAUGGAGAUAAUAACUGUAAGUAUUAAGAAAGAAGACUGUGAAUGGGAGAGCAUCCACCCUAAACAAGAGCGUCUCUGCAUUAAUGAUGGGGAUUGUGAACUGGAGUCAGUGGACAUUAAAGAAGAGGCUAAGGAAAGGUCUGUCAGCAUUGAGAUGUGCAGACGUACAAGUAUGGAGAGGGUCAAGGAAGACGACCUUCCUUUUGGAUUUCCAGAUGGAGUGAUGACCGGCAAACACUGUUCAUCUCCGGAACCUUCUAUCAAUGUGAAGUCUGAAUUGGUCCAGUCAGACACAAAAAAGACUGGAGAAGUUUCUUCUUUUAGAACUCUGAAAGAUCAGCCACCAUCUACAAAUAAGUCUGUAAAAAAAGAAAAACAUCACCGCUGUCCUCAAUGUGGCAAACGAUUCUAUGACAGAAGCACUCUGCGGAGACACAUAAGAAUUCACACAGGAGAGAAGCCAUACUGCUGUAAAGAAUGUGGUAAAGAAUUUUCUCAAGGCAGCCACUUUCAGAGCCACAAAAGAAUUCAUACGGGAGAACCCUGUGAAAAGAUAUAUAGUUGUUUGGAAUGUGGCAAACAUUUUUCAAAAAGUAGCCACCUACAAAGACACACUAGAAUUCAUACUGGAGAGAAACCAUAUCACUGUUCUGAAUGUGGCAAACGAUUCUCAAACACUACCAGUCUUCAUAGCCACAACAGACUUCACACGGGUGAGAAGCCAUAUGCCUGUUCUGAAUGUGGCAGACACUUCAGUUACAGAAAUAAACUUCAGAGACACACUAGAAUUCACACUGGAGAGAAACCAUACUGCUGUUUGCAAUGUGGCAAACACUUCUGUGACAGUACUAGUCUUCAGAGACAUGCUAGAAUCCACACUGGAGAAAAGCCAUAUUACUGUUCUGAAUGUGGUAAAAAGUUUUCUCAGAGGACCAGUCUUCAGAACCACAGAAGAGUUCACAUGGGAGAGAAGCCAUAUUGUUGUUCUAAAUGUGGCAAAGGAUUCUGUCGAAGGAGUCAUUUUACAAGGCAUAUUAGAAUUCAUACGAAAGAGAAGCCAUAUUGCUGUUCAGAAUGUGGCAAAAAAUUUUUGAGAGUGAGCUACCUUCAGAGCCACCAAAGAAUUCACACAGGAGAGAAGCCAUUUUCCUGUUCUGAAUGUGGCAAACAAUUUCUGCAUAUGAGCAGUCUUAAGAGACACUCAACAUUUCACACUGGAGACAAGUCAUUUCGCUGUUCUGAAUGUGGGAAACAAUUUACACAGAUGGGUAGCCUUAAGAGACACUCCACAGUUCACACAGGAGAGAAGCCAUAUUGCUGCUCUGAAUGUGGGAAACGAUUUACGCAGUUGAGCAGUCUUAAGAAACACUCAACAGUGCACAGAGGAGAGAACAAGGAAGCCUUGAAGGAGUAAGUUGGCUGGUGGAGAAAAGAGUGAAAUGUAAUCCACCUAACUACUUAUCAAGUCUUGAUGAAUAUCUUUAUAUGGGGUGCUUCAUUGUAUGAGAUCUAUAUCCUAUCUCAUCAUGGACAAACUACUUUUAUAGUGUGAAGAGGAUCUAACAGAGUAAUUCAUACUGGCUGCUUAUUGCCCAUAUGAAAAGGGUGACCUGCCUCGGCCCUAGAGUAGUUGAUGGUGAGAGGGAAAGUGCAAUGUCUUCAAAUGAAGAGAAAAAGACUGCCAAUGUGGUGACAGUCCAGAUGGACAGCAUUGCUGGCCCCACCACAGUAAAACAGGUCUUCUGCAUUUGGCCACAUGUUCUCAUCCACAUCACACCUGAUAUCUUCUCUGGCAAGGCAUCGUGGGAAGAAUCUUUUGGCAUGCCUUAUCCACCCCUGGCAGUGUUCAGCUGUGAUGUCUUGGCAUGCAGCAUCCUUUGCAUUCAGGAGGGACAUUUGGUCAUGUGGACGAUGGUCAAAAACCUUCCAUCUCCAGGCUGAGAAAAACUCCUCAAUAGGGUUGAGGAAAGGGGAGUAAGGGGCAAGGAAAUGGGACAUCAUCCUUGGACAUCCUUGGAUGGGUGUCAAACCAGGCUGUGACUGCACGGGAAUGGUGGAAUGCCACAUUGUCCCAUGUGAUAACAUAUAUUGGCAAGUGGUCUCCCACCUGUCCCCUUUCUACCUCUGGCACCAGUCUUUCGUGCAGGUCUUCAAAAACAGGAGAAGGUGGUUGGUGUUGUAGGGGCCAAUCUGACAUUUAUGCAGGAGUGCACCGUUGUUGGAAAUUUUGAGGCACACAUGGUGAUGUUGGCUCCUCUCUGGCUCGGCACAGUAACUGUGGCCCUUUGGCCUAUUAUGUUUCUCCCACGGCAACGCCUUUUCGCCAAGUUGAAGCCAGCCUCGUCAACAUAGAUAAUUUCAUGUGGGACUUGAUUGGCCUCCAACUCCAUGACUCUCUGAAAGUAAUUACACACAGUGUAUGUACAAACCGGAUUCCAAAA
This is an RNA transcript of Polypterus senegalus (gray bichir), 2618 nucleotides long. It is a transcript of the gene named gastrula zinc finger protein XlCGF26.1-like, with no coding region annotated. The record is from RefSeq and is a predicted model, not a curated record. The transcript has 4 exons. NCBI's taxonomy places the organism in Eukaryota, Metazoa, Chordata, Cladistia, Polypteriformes, Polypteridae.